GCUGGCGGCACGCUUAACACUGCAAGUCGAACGAGAAACCCGAGCUUGCUCGGGUGGACAGUGGCAGACGGCUUAGUAACGCGUGGGUAUCUACCUAGAGGUUUGGAACAACUAUUGGAAACGAUAGCUAAUACCAAAUAUUCCCUAAGGGGGAAAGAUUUAUCGCCUUUAGAUGAGCCCGCGUCGGAUUAGCUUGUUGGUAGGGUAAAGGCCUACCAAGGCAACGAUCCGUAGCUGGUCUGAGAGGAUGAUCAGCAAGAUUGGGACUGAGACA
RNAcentral lists this ribosomal RNA (274 nucleotides) under uncultured Alphaproteobacteria bacterium. Its description in RNAcentral is "partial 16S ribosomal RNA". It matches the Rfam family "Bacterial small subunit ribosomal RNA", at positions 35 to 326 of the family's 1533-position model. Lineage: Bacteria; Pseudomonadati; Pseudomonadota; Alphaproteobacteria. The record is from RNAcentral.